This 654-nucleotide ribosomal RNA is filed under the name Oscheius chongmingensis. Its description in RNAcentral is "partial large subunit ribosomal RNA". It matches the Rfam family "Eukaryotic large subunit ribosomal RNA", at positions 359 to 905 of the family's 3401-position model. The record is from RNAcentral. Lineage: Eukaryota; Metazoa; Nematoda; Chromadorea; Rhabditida; Rhabditidae.
UUCGAUGCAGACUUUGAGAGAGAGUUCAAGAGAACGUGAAAUCCUAGUGGUUGAAGCGGAGAGAGUUGACGUAGCUCGGCGGCUAAGCUUACUGUUGCUUCUUCGGAGGCUUCGGUUUGUGGUGUCCGCUUAUAGCUGCGCCGGUGCGUUGUUCGAGCUUUCUGACCUGGUUAGUGUUGCCCACUUCGGUGGUGUCUUGCUGCCGGCGAGGUCUGCCGUAUUAACGUUUAAUUUGUCUCACGACAAGUACCGGUGUGAAGGUCAGCCACCUUUCCGACCCGUCUUGAAACACGGACCGAGGAGUGUAACUUGUACGCGAGUCAGAGGGUGGAAAACCCUACGGCGCAAUGAAAGUAAAGGUCGGUUAACCGGCUGACAUGGGAUCCUUUCUUCGGAGAGGCGCACCAUGGCCCUGUCUUGAGAGCUUGCUCUUGGGCAGAGGUAGAGCGUACAGGUUGCGACCCGAAAGAUGGUGAACUAUGCCCUAAACCCAGUAAAAGUGAAGGUCCUCUUUUAUGAAGGCUGAUAUGCGAUCCGUUGCACUUCGGUGUACGCGGGAGCAGCAUAGCCCCGUCUCGACUGCUUGCAGUGGGGCGGAGGUAGAGCGUAUGCGCUGGUACCCGAAAGAUGGUGAACUAUGCCUGGAAGCAGGAA